UACGUAGGGGGCGAGCGUUAUCCGGAAUUAUUGGGCGUAAAGAGUGCGUAGGUGGUUUUCAAAGCGCAGGGUUUAAGGCUAUGGCUUAACCAUAGUUCGCCCUGCGAACUGGAUAACUUGAGUGCAGGAGGGGAAAGCGGAAUUCCUAGUGUAGCGGUGAAAUGCGUAGAUAUUAGGAGGAACACCAGUGGCGAAGGCGGCUUUCUGGACUGAAACUGACACUGAGGCACGAAAGCGUGGGGAGCAAACA
RNAcentral lists this ribosomal RNA (250 nucleotides) under uncultured prokaryote. Its description in RNAcentral is "partial 16S ribosomal RNA". It matches the Rfam family "Bacterial small subunit ribosomal RNA", at positions 524 to 774 of the family's 1533-position model. The record is from RNAcentral.